AAUUCCCGAACCGCUGGACUCCUGGACUGACCCGCAGGCCGGCCCCCCCUCCGCUGGCGGAUACCCUCCCUGCGCGCUCCUGGAGGCCCCUGCUGCCAACGCGCCUUACCACUAAGGGACCCUCACCCCAAGGCCCGAUCCCUGCAGCCCCUCUUGCGAACACUCCGAGAUCCCUCGACGCUCUGGGCGUAACUAGCAGUAACUAACCAACUGCCCCCUCCCCAGGAGCCCGGGCCGCGCACCCUCUGGAUUGCCUCUCCCCGAGACCCUAACCCCGCCACGCUCCUUCACCGCUGAACGUGGUCAGUCCGAGCGCAGUUACCUACCCAGACCGUUCCCUCCCCUAGCUCGGGCGGUGUCUGAGUGGACUGGGGGUUGGGAGGGCUCGGAGUACAGCAGCGGAACAGCGGGAGCCGGGAGGGGCAGAGAGGGGCAGGAACUACAGGGCUCUAGAGGGCACCUGGGCCUCGGACACGCGGCCGCUCAGGGCUGUGCUUGACCCAGUGGAGGUGGCCGGGCCGGUGGCUCCAGAGAGGGGGAGGGGGCAUCCCCUCCCCAGGCGUGGCCUUCGCAGGCCAACGGGCCCAAUUGCCUGGGGCGAGGCCAUGGAGACCCGGACUGGCGCCGGCGCCAGCUGGAGGGAGACGCCCCCGGGCAGGAGGUGGCAUUUUUUCCUCCGGGGGUCCCCGAGGUGGCCUCUGGUGAGGGGGAAGAGGUGGUCUGAGGUCUCAGUCUUCUAAGUCACCUGAAACUGCUUCCCACUCACUUCCAGCCCGGAGAUCGGCUCUAUGAGUCGAGUGGGCCGGGCGCACAAGUCUUGCUCCCUCCCAUUGUACAGACUGGGGAGACGAAGGCUCGAAGGGGGCCCCGGACCGAGGAGGGGUUCCAGGACAAAGGCAUUUGGGGGGACCUAGACAGGUGCCGAGUACUGAGGGGACUCAACAGCGUCCUCCAGCCCUCUUCCCUGUUGGUCCCGAGGCUCCCGGGGUAGAUGUCCAGAGGGCCCCUGGGUGGGUCGGGGGCAGGAGGAAGGCUAGGGUCCCGGCCACCCCCGGGAGAGUGGGGGAGGGGCGGCGGGAUUGACAGUCGGUAAUUGGGUAACUGGAGGCGGCUUCUCCGGCCGGGCGGCCCCGCCACCGCGACGCCGAGCCCCUGACGUCACCCGAUUCGCCAGGAAAUGAACUUUUUAAUAAUCCGAGGAGGGAGGAAAGCCCUCGGUCCCCUCAGCUCCGGGGGCGCCCGGCUGGGCCCAGCUCCGCGGGCGCGCCCCCGUCACCCCCUCCCAGGCCAGCUCAGGGCAGCGCCAAGGGGGCGCGGGCUCAGGCUGAGGCCUCCUCCUGCCUAGGCGUCUGGCGUCCGUUUGUCUGUCCAAGGCCGCAGCGCAGGUAAAGCGCGGGGCUGGGGGGCGCAGAGCUCCAUUGGGCUGGGAACCAGCGCGUCUCGUGCCCUUGGGGAACCCGCCUGCCCGAGCCGCCUGCUGAGCCUCCCGCUCCCCUCCACUCUGGAGCGCGCGGAGCCCAGUCUGCUCGGAACUCCACUCCGCGGGAGCGGAGGCCGGCGCCAGCCCGGGAAGGCGCGCCGGGGGCGGGAGGCCGAGCGCAAGGCCCUUGGCGCCGGACCUCGGCGGCCAGGCCGGGCAGCUUACGAUUCUUCAUCAAUGCGUAAAAUGAGAUCGCCGCGGAGUUCGAGCCUAUUUGGCGUCUCCGGAGACUAGCAAGACCCUCUGAAAGACACCGCAUCCCCAGGGAUAAUCCCCCGUGUCCGGCAAAGCUACCCUGCUCGAGCGCGAACCCUGGGACCCAGCGCGGAAGGCAGACCGGCAGCUGGCCGCUGGGCUGUGAACGCCAGGGCCGAGCGGAAGCUUCCCGCCCGGCCGCGAUCGGUGCCUCGGCUCUCAGGGAAGUGGCUACGCGAGGCCCUCGAGAAAGCAGUAACAAUGUUGGCAUGGCUGUUUUUGUUUCUGCUCAAUCCCAGCUUGGUCCUCACCAUCUCCUUCCACCUGCCCAUUAACUCCUGAAAGUGCCUCCGUGAGGAGAUCCACAAGGACCUGCUAGUGACGGGUGUGUACGAAAUCUCCAACCAGUCCAGGGGUGCUGGUAGCCUGCACAGCCACCUCAGGAUCACAGAUUCUGCUGGCCACAUUCUCUACUCCAAAGAGGAUGCAACCAAAGGGAAAUUCACCUUUACCCUGGAAGAUUAUGACAUGUUUGAAGUAUGAUUUGAGAGUAAAGAAACAGGGAGGAUACCUGAUCAAUUCAUAAUCCUAGACACGAAGCAUGGAGUAGAGGCAAAAAAAAAAAAAUUACAAGGAGAUUACAAAAGUCGAGAAGUUUAAGCCAUUAUAGGUGGAGCUGCAAUGCCUAGAAGACCUCUCAGAAUCUAUUGUUAAUGAUUUUGCUGCAUGAAGAAGAGAGAUGUGUAAUACCAAUGAAUCAACAAACACUUGAGCCCUGUACUUCAGUGUCUCUUUAAUGUUCUGCUUCAUUGGACUAGCAACCUGACAGGUUUUCUACCUGUGUUGCUUCUUCAAGGCUAAGAUGUUGAUUGAGUAAUGAAUGAAGUGCACUCUCCUCCCACCUUGUAUCUCAAGCAGUAGAACAUCACUGGGCGUCCUACCAACAGCACCAUCAAGAUGCAAUGGAGCCCUCUUGCCAGAACUGAUCUCUUGGUGUGGGAGGACAUGGUUACCACCUACCCAACAAGUCAGUGGAGAUUUCUUUUUAGCUGGUAGGAUUUGGACUGGUUUUGCAACAAUAGGUCUAGUAUUAGAGUCACCUAUGACAAAAAAUAAGGGUUACUGAGAUAAUGUAAAAGCCAGCAUUUGUACUGGGUUUCCUUGUGCGAUCUGUUUGAACCAAGUUUUCUUUUCUUCUACCGCCUUCUCGGCAGCUUGGGUUUCCACUCUAGUUCUUUCACCCAGAUUGGUAUGACCAUGCUGAACUUGUUUCCUUCCGCUUGUCCUCUUUGGGUUUCCUUAUGAAAACACCCUUAACUUCCUCUUUGCCUUUAGCUGAAAUGUUUACAUAGCUUCUGGUGAUAUCUUCUCAUACUUUUAUGUCUCUUAAAAGGUUGACGGAUGUGACACUUAAAAAGGUGAGCUUUGAAUUGAAGAUAACUCUUAAAGAAAAUAUCAUUUUAGACAAUUAAAAUAUUUGUGCUCCGAAAAGAUAUAAUUUACAUAUCACUUUUGCACUCUUUUUAUGGCUAAAUAAAAUUACAUGGCAUCAACAUUCCAUACUUUGCCCAUCCAUUCAUCCAUUGGUGGACAUUUGGGUUGUUUAUAGCCUUUAGCUCUUAGGAAUAAAGCUGCUUUGAACAUAAGAUUUCCUUUGAACAUUUGUUUUCAGUUCUCUUGGAUAUAUACCUAGGAGCAGAAGAUAGAUCAUUUGGUAGUUUUAUGUUUAACUUUUUGAGAAACUGUUUAUUUGUUUCCAAAAAUGGCUGCACCAUCUUACAUUCCCCAGAAGCAAUGCGAGAGGGUUCCAGUGCUUCAACAUUCUCGCCAUUGCUAUCAUUCAUCUUUAUUACAGCCACCCUAGCAGGUGUAAAGUGGUGUCUCACUGUGGCUUUGAUGUGCAUUUUCUGAUACACAUAAUUUUACUGAUGCUGAGCAUUAUUUCAUGUGUUUGUUGCCAUUUGUCUAUCUUCUUUGGAGAAACGCCCAUUCAAAUCUUUUGUCCAUUUAAAAAAUUGGAUUAUUUGUCUUCUUAUUGUUGAGUUUAAGGAAUCCUUUGUAUAUUCUAGACACUAGACCAUCAUCAAAGAUAUGACUUGCAAAUAUUUUCUCCCAUUCCGUGGCUUGUCUUUUCAUUUUAUUGAUAGUGUUUUUGAAACACAAAGUUUUAAAUGCUGACAAAGUACAGUUUAUCUAGCUUUCCUCCCCUUUGGUUGCUUGUGCUUUUGGUGUCAUAUCUACGAAUCCUUGCCUAGCUCAGAGAUUUGUGCCUAUGUUUUUUUCUAAGCAACAGUGACCCAAUCAAAGGCACAUUGCAAAAAAGACCCCUACCUGACUGUGGUGUGGCCAGUAAAUGGAGAGGGCAAAGGAGCAGGUAUGGGGAGGUCAGUGAGGACACUGUGGCAGUGGUCAGAGAAACAGACAGACAGAUGAUGGCAGCUUGGUCCAGGGUAGUGGCAGUAGGGAUGGAGAGAAUUGGGCAGAUUUCAGAAUUAUUAAGAAAGACAAAUCUCAGGAAUGAGAGUCUUCCAUCUCCACUGUCCACCCACCUUACUCUUCCUCAGUCUCCUAACACACUUUUUAAAAAAAGAAAAAACUACCGAGGUGUAUUUUACGUGUCAUAAAACUCACCUAUUUCAAGUAUAGGAUUCAACAAUUUGUGGUAACAAAUACAAUAUGUGGCCUUUUGUGACUGACUUCUCUCACUUAGUUUAAUGUUUUCAAGGUUCAUCAUGUUGGAGCAUGUAAACGGGCUUCAUUCCUUUUAUGACUGACUUCUUUCACUUAGUUUAAUGUUUUCAAGGUUCAUCAUGUUGGAGCAUGUAAACGGGCUUCAUUCCUUUUCAUAACUGCAUAACGUUCCAUUAUGCCACAUACUGUUUAUCUAUUCGUCAGUUGAUGAGCAUUUGGGUUGUUUCUACUCUUUGACUAUUAUUAAUAAUGCUGCUAAGAACAUUCAUGUACAAGUUUCU
This is an RNA transcript of Cercocebus atys (sooty mangabey), 4647 nucleotides long. It is a transcript of the gene named transmembrane emp24 domain-containing protein 10 pseudogene, with no coding region annotated. The transcript is spliced from 3 exons. The record is from RefSeq and is a predicted model, not a curated record. Lineage: Eukaryota; Metazoa; Chordata; Mammalia; Primates; Cercopithecidae.